UGGCGANCGACCGGGAAUUAGCCCAGCACCGAAUCCUGUAUCUUUGGUAUUAGGAAUUGUGGUGUAAAGGUUGCGUCUUUAGUUNUUUGAGUGCGCUUCAAAUUCACUUGAUUGUGAUGUUGUCCANANAGGGUGUUANACCCGUUGGAGUGUACUCGGUGGCUAUUGAUGUUUCCUAUGAGUCGGAUUGUUUGANAAUGCAGUCCAAAUCUGGUGGUAAACUCCAUCUAAGGCUAAAUACUUGUAUGAGUCCNAUANCAAACAAGUACCGUGAGGGAAANUUGAAAANAACUUUGAANAGAGAGUUAAAUAGUACGUGAAAUCGCUUANAGGUAAACNAGUGGANCCGAAAAAGUCGGACGGNAUUCAGUUGGGUGUAUGAUGAUGAUCGAUUCGGUGAAAACCACAAAAGGCAUCACUGUUUCGGUAUGUUUGUUGUACGCACAAUGCACUUUCUGUUCGAUUAGACUGUGACCAAUAGUGUUGUUUUGCUGUCGUAAUGUUGAAGGUGACCAGUUGCUUGCAAUUGGUUUUAUAGCUCAUUGCACGGUGAAAUAAUGUAUUGGUGAAUAUGCAAUCAGUCAAUGUUGAUAGUACGUUAUAUGUGCGGUUUGGUAGUYGGCUACAUGUAGACUGUUAUCAGAUCGUAUGUGUGAUGUAGUGUCGAUGGAUUGGUUUAAAGUCACAGUAUAAUGUAGGUUAUCUACUCGUCCCGUCUUGAAACACGGACCAAGGAGUUUUAUAUGAUCGCGAGUCAAAGGGCUGUACGAAACCCCAGGGCGCAAUUAAUGUAAAGGUUUACUUCAAGUAGACUGAGAUGUGACCUGAAAGUGUUUGGUCACAAGCCAAAUGCGAUCAGUGCAACAUCGACCCGUCUAAAGAUGUUCGCAUCUGGGCGGAGUUUGAGCGAUCAUGUAGAGACCCGAAAGAUGGUGAACUAUGCUUGUGCAGGUUGAAGUCAGAGGAAACUCUGAUGGAGGACCGCCGCGGUUCUGACGUGCAAAUCGAUCGUCGGACAUGAGUAUAGGGGCGAAAGACUAAUCGAACCAUCUAGUAGCUGGUUCCCUCCGAAGUUUCCCUCAGGAUAGCUGGCGUUUGUUGUCGUAGUUUUACCUGGUAAAGCGAAUGAUUAGAAGUAUUGGGGGCGAAAUGCCCUCAACUUAUUCUCAAACUUUAAAUGGGUUCGAUGUGUAGCUCGCUUCAUUGGAGUUGCACGUUGAAUACGAAUGCCUAGUGGGCCAUUUUUGGUAAGCAGAACUGGCGAUGUGGGAUGAACCAAACAUUCGGUUAAGGUGCCUAACAUCACGCUCAUGAGAUCCCACAAAAGGUGUUGGUUGAUAAAGACAGCAGGACGGUGGACAUGGAAGUCGUCAUCCGCUAAGGAGUGUGUAACAACUCACCUGCCGAAUCAACCAUCNNNNNNNNNNNNNNNNNNNNNNNNNUGAGUCCGAUAGCAAACAAGUACCGUGAGAGAAGGUUGAAAAGAACUUUGAAGAGAAAGUUUAAUAGUACGUGAAAUUGCUUAGAGUUAAACCGUGGUUACUAAGAAGCUACUGGCCUGAGUCCAGAGUGGAGGCCGGUACACCGGGUACCAGAUCUUGGUAGUAGUAGCA
This 1613-nucleotide ribosomal RNA is filed under the name Obama sp. MAP-2014. RNAcentral's name for it is "partial 28S ribosomal RNA". It matches the Rfam family "Eukaryotic large subunit ribosomal RNA", at positions 87 to 1465 of the family's 3401-position model. Lineage: Eukaryota; Metazoa; Platyhelminthes; Tricladida; Geoplanidae. The record is from RNAcentral.